Molecule: transfer RNA, 81 nt
Filed under: Metarhizium album ARSEF 1941
Lineage: Eukaryota; Fungi; Ascomycota; Sordariomycetes; Hypocreales; Clavicipitaceae
Also listed under: 1 other name
Rfam family: tRNA
About the family: Transfer RNA (tRNA) molecules are approximately 80 nucleotides in length. Their secondary structure includes four short double-helical elements and three loops (D, anti-codon, and T loops). Further hydrogen bonds mediate the characteristic L-shaped molecular structure. tRNAs have two regions of fundamental functional importance: the anti-codon, which is responsible for specific mRNA codon recognition, and the 3' end, to which the tRNAs corresponding amino acid is attached (by aminoacyl-tRNA synthetases). tRNAs cope with the degeneracy of the genetic code in two manners: having more than one tRNA (with a specific anti-codon) for a particular amino acid; and 'wobble' base-pairing, i.e. permitting non-standard base-pairing at the 3rd anti-codon position.
Source: Rfam by way of RNAcentral
GGCAACAUGGCCGAGUGGUUAAGGCGAGAGACUCGAAAUCUCUUGGGUUCGCCCGCGUCAGUUCGAAUCUGGCUGUUGUCG